RNAcentral lists this ribosomal RNA (266 nucleotides) under uncultured bacterium. RNAcentral describes it as "partial 16S ribosomal RNA". It matches the Rfam family "Bacterial small subunit ribosomal RNA", at positions 793 to 1055 of the family's 1533-position model. The record is from RNAcentral.
GUCCACGCCGUAAACGAUGAGUGCUAGAUGCUGUGGGUAUUGACCCCCGCGGUGUCGCAGCCAACGCGUUAAGCACUCCGCCUGGGGAGUACGGCCGCAAGGCUAAAACUCAAAGGAAUUGACGGGGGCCCCGCACAAGCGGUGGAGCAUGUGGUUCAAUUCGACGCAACGCGCAGAACCUUACCUGGGUUAAAUCCACUAGAAGCUGCCAGAGAUGGCGGGGUGCCCUUCGGGGAACUAGUGAGACGGUGCUGCAUGGCUGUCGU